GUCCUCUUCCAUGUCAGAUCAUAUCAAAGCCCGGAAGAGGCGCAGUCAAAUGGCUCAAGCGACUGUUUAACAAAAACACAGCACUCUGCUAACUCGAAAGAGGACGUAUAGGGUGUGACACGUGACCAAUGCGGAAAGGUUAAGGCAAGAAGUUAGCCGCAAGGCGACGCUUUGAACCGAAGCCCCCGUGAAUGUCGGCCGUAACUAUAACGGUCCUAAGGUAGCGAAAUUCCUUGUCGGGUAAGUUCCGACCUGCACGAAUCGUGUAACGACUUGAGCGCUGUCUCAACGAGGAUCUCGGUGAAAUUGUAGUUCAGAUGAAAAUGUCUGAUUCCCGCAGUAGGACGGAAAGACCCUGUGAACCUUUACUGUAACCUGAUAUGGGGUUCUGGAUUGUCAUAUGUAGCAUAGCUGGGAGGCAUUGAAGCGUGGCCGUCAGGUCACGUGGAGCCAUCAGUGAAUACCAGUUUUGUAUUGUUCGGAAUUCUAACCUCGACCCGUC
This 502-nucleotide ribosomal RNA is filed under the name uncultured bacterium. RNAcentral describes it as "bacterial LSU rRNA". It matches the Rfam family "Bacterial large subunit ribosomal RNA", at positions 1748 to 2237 of the family's 2925-position model. The record is from RNAcentral.